Molecule: long non-coding RNA, 902 nt
Organism: Gasterosteus aculeatus aculeatus (three-spined stickleback)
Lineage: Eukaryota; Metazoa; Chordata; Actinopteri; Perciformes; Gasterosteidae
Source: Ensembl
UCAGGGCUGCAGAAGGUUCACUUGAAGGCCUUGGACGGGCAGCGGUACUCCACCCUGGAGAGGCAGUGCUUGCAGAGUGGCCUGCUCUUUGAGACCCCCGCUUCCCCGCCAUCGACCACUCGCCGUCCCACCACGCCAACAGGAUGGGACGCGUGGUGUGGAAGAGGCCUCGGAGCACCGUGUCUGUCUUGCCCGUUAGAGCGUCCCCCCCCCCCCGAUGAGUUCUUCACGCCUGGUCAGCGGCCAUCAAGCGCUUCUCCUCUCCCUUCUGUGGUCCUCUGGUGCAGGCCGGGCGACCGGACGUAUGUUUCAGUGGCAGAUGAUACCGGAUGCAGGGCCUCAGGACUCAGUGAGCCGACCCCCCCUGACAUGAUGCUCAUGGACUACAAAGUGUACAGCUUCUCCCGGAGUGGCCUGAUGAGCUGGUCUCACACUUCCAAUGCUGCUGCAGCUUAAGAACACUCGCGGGUCAGGUAGUUAGCAGCCUUGGAACUGCACACAGGUUUUUUGCAGUGGGCGAACAUUGAGAAAAGGCCACAAUGACUCUGUGGCCCUAAAAGGACUCGAGAUGACGAUGAAAGCUCUUGGGACAAAACGUCCUCAUCCAAAGGGCGCAUCCCAAAGAAGAGGGUCCGACGCCGUCAGAGACUUGACACCGGCGUCAGAGCGCCAUUGCUCGCCCGAUAAGAAAGGCCCGAAAGCUCCGGGCAGCGUGUCAGCGUGACUCGAGCAAUGAGGAAAGACCAAGAGGAAAGGAAGCACAAUCAGAGGAGGCGAGAAGAGGAUUAGCGUUUUGUUUACGCUAAUUGUAGCCUCGGCUAUUUUGGUGUUCUCCUAGUCCGGUAGUAGUUAAGCGCUAUUUGGUGACUCUCUGGUGGGUCUUGUGCUUCCUGUACUUCGGG